UGUGAGCGCGCGCUGGAGAGACACGGGCGAAGGAGGAGGAGGAGGCAACGGGAAAACAGGGGAAUAGCGGUGGUUGGGGGGGAGCAUCGCCGAAGCGGAUUUCUGGCAUCCUCUGUGUGUAUAUCGCACUAUACUUCGCUCUCUCGAGUCGUUAUAUCUCGCGAGCGGAGGCGUCACCUUCGGUUUGUAGGUCGUUAUCUUGUGUGAGUGAGAAUGAGCGACGCCUGGCGCGAGCGCUGCCUUGCUGUGUAAAUCUGCGCCCAGCCUCUCCGCAUCGCGUGUCAGAUCUGAUGGGAGCCAAAGCGGAUACAGGUACAGCAUCAACACACAGACUGCUCUGAUCGCCACCAAAAUACAAGCGUCUGGUCUUUUUCACAGCGCAGGUCUUAUUAUUAUUAUUAUUAUUAUUAAUUGGUUUUUGGCAACAUGAUUUCUGUCGAUUGAGCUGCUUCUUUACACGGAAAGCGGAGGAGGAGGAGGAGGGGAACUGGACCGGGAUAUAUUUUUUGUUCAUUUUUGCCCCCUCACCGGGCACUUCUGAAUCACGCUCCUAUCAUAAUUUAACCAUCGGGUGUGAUGUAGGACAACGUCCGAAAUACGACAAGAGCAACGUUUAUGUUUCGGAGCUUGACUGUAACUGUGAUAUUAUCUUUUUCUGUCGUUUGUCUUCGGCCCCCGGAUACGCAUUUUUGAGGGAACCCAGCGGGGCAGAUAGGGGGAGAUAUAGACGUAGGGGAGAACGCAUCAGAGGUGGAAAACCCAGAGUGCUAAAGACAGAGAGAGAGCGCGCGAGAAAGAGAGAGAGAAAGAAAAAAACAAGGAACAUUAAAUCAUGCUGCCUUCGCAAGAAGCCUCCAAGAUCUAUCACGACAAUUACAUGCGCAACUCGCGGGCCAUCGGCGUGCUGUGGGCCAUCUUUACCAUCUGUUUCGCCAUCAUCAACGUGGUGGUGUUCAUCCAGCCCUACUGGAUAGGCGACAGCGUAAACACGUCGUACGCCGGGUACUUCGGCCUCUUCCACUACUGCAUGGGUGAGGGAAGCUCGAACCGAGAGCUCCACUGCCGGGGCACGUUCUCCGACUUAAGCUCCAUUCCAUCAGGCGCCUUCAAGGCCGCCUUCUUCUUCGUGCUGCUCUCUAUGGUGCUCAUUCUGAGCUGCAUCGCCUGCAUGGCGCUUUUUUUCUUCUGCAACACCGCCACCGUGUACAAGACGUGCGCCUGGAUGCAGCUGCUCUGCGCUGUGUGUCUGGUGUUUGGAUGUAUAAUUUUCCCGGCUGGCUGGGAUGCAGAGGUGGUUCAGGACUUGUGUGGUGAGGAGUCAGGGAAAUACACGCUGGGGAACUGCUCAGUGCGCUGGGCCUACAUCCUGGCCAUCAUCGGCAUUCUGGAUGCACUCAUUCUCUCUUUCCUUGCCUUCGUCCUCGGGAAUCGCCAGAGCGACUUCCUUCAAGAUGAAGUCAAGGCUGACAAUAAAGACUUUGCAGUAUCAAGGCAGCCACUGCACCUGACCUCUACACUCCGAAUGGAUGGUGUAAGAUGAAAUAACUAAGCUAAUUGAUCAAUUUAUCACCCAUGUUUCCCUUCUCUAGAUAUAUGCAUGCAGUCCUAGCAUGCAGCUUGAAUCUACUUUAGCCAGAGAUUUUGGACUUGAUUGUUCUCCCUUUGGUUUAUUGUUACUGACCUGUGUGGCGCAGAAAUUCCCCUUUUUACUAAUAUGUGAUUUCCUCCUUUCAAAUAUUCCCACCCCUAAUUUCACCUUUUUCUGAAUUUAAGAAUUAAGGCCUAAGCAACUAUGAAUAAUGUGGCUUGCAACCAGCACUUCUCAUAUGCCGUUAACGUCAAGGCUCAUUAUAAUUUGUGUAGGUCUAUAGUUCAGCUGGGAUUACACAAAUACCCCGCGAUGCAUCAUGUAAGUAGUUUUUUUCAGUAGCAUUUGUCAUCUACAGCUUCAACUUUGAGCUCAAAGAUGGAACUUUGAAACAAUUACAAUGAAAAAUAUAUAUAAACUUGAUAUUUAGCCAAUGUCUUCAACAGUCUCUGGCCUCUUCCAUUAAUAUGAUUCACUUCUUAGGUGGAAUGGGAAGCAAUGGAUGCAAGUUAAGCUUCUUGUUUGUUUGUUUUUUUUAUUAUUAUUUUUUUUAUCGCUGACUGAAACUGUCUUGACAUAUGUCCUCUUCUCAUAGGAAGUUGCAAGUAAUUCUAUAUAGAAUAAUAUAAAAAAUGGAAAACCAAUAUUAUUUUUUUGGCAGAUACAGUAGCUACAAUAGUUAGCUAGCGCAGUAUUUCAAUCUGUGCUAGCUGAUCUGAAAAUCUGAAACAUUUGAAACCAACUAUUGUGCUGAGUGCUAUCUUCUCUUCUCUGUAGUUUGGUCAGCUUGUUCAGCUGUAAUGUCCAUAUUAUGCACCAUCAACCUCUCAAAUGUCUUUAAUGAAUCCCAAGUAGGAAAAGUCACCUAUCUGCCAUGUUUAGCCAGACUAGAUUAAUUAAGAUAUUUAGAUUGUCCUUCUCAGGCCAAAUGUUAAUGAUCGCAUGCAAGGCAGAGAAGCUGAGCCUGGGCAUCUGGCCCAAAGCCUUCAAAAGCACACAGAGCAGAGCAAAGCAGGGGAGGGGAGAUGAAGUGGGGGGACCAGGUGGUAUCGCAGUGCUCCACCGUAUGUUUCUCUUUCUCAUUCCACCUUUUUUUCUUUAAACGAGGGAAUUCUUUGGUUGUUUACUGUCUGGUGGUGCAGUGGAUUGCCUGGGCCAAGUGGGACAUCAAGCUUUGUGUCAUCAGGCGUCAUAAAUUGAGAUCCGUGACACAAAGGAUCCCCGUUUUGGAGUCCAGCGGUUCCAUUAAAGAGACGCCACCUCCACUUCUUUCUUCUCUUCCUUCUUCAUCCCCCGUGUCCUUCUCUCCUUGUCCUCUCAGGUCUGCGUCUCUGACCUCAGUUAGGAAGCUGCUAGCUCAGCUUUUUGUAAUAUAGGACUGGCCUGGAGCACACUUCAAGAAGAGAACCUAUUCUACAUACAUACACCUGUUUCAAAAUGAAUUCAAAAUCAAGACAAAAAAUCAAUUUAAAAAUUCAGCUUUACAAAUCCAACAACUCUGGGAAAGUGAUGAACCUUACACAGUAUUAUUAUUCUAUAUUAUUACUAUGAUUACAAUGUUACAGUGAUAAUUAUGCUUGCAACAGCAGUAUUAUGUUCAAAUUUACAUAUUUUAUCUAAAAUGGGAAAAAGCAAUUAUUUCUAGCUUUAAAAAAAAUACAUUCUAAUAAUGAAUUAAUGCAUAUGUAUAAGUGCUUGGGUGCUACUUGAGACACAGAUGAAUAAAAAAAAAAAAAAAAUCAAGCCAAAAAUCAAAUAAAAGAAAAAAGGGGCAACAUUUUGUACAGCACAAGAUGAAAUUUUGAAGACCGACUUUUUUUCCUGGAAGAUUUUGAACUCCCUUCUUUGUACACAUGGUCAACAACCAGAGAUUAGUAUGAGAAAAGAAGUAGUUCAUUUGUAAAUAAUAGAUUUCUAUGGAGACAGGGUACAGACAUAACACAUUUAUUGACCCAAACUAUAUUCCCACUCCACCCUGGAGUGGAUUUAUAAAAAUUCUCACCAUUUCUUCAUCUCUUGAUCAAAUGGGAACUGCCAGUUCUCAGAGUUUAUAGCUACCAUGAGGAGGCUAUGUUAAUGUCUGAAGGUUAAACAUUUGUUUUGGCAUGGACCUUUCCAUUGACAACGCUUCACUGGUUAUUUAAUCUUGUUUGCCUUUCUUUCUUUCUUUCUUUCUUUCUUUCUUUCUUUCUUUCUUUCUUUAUUUAUUUAUUUAUUUAUUUAUUUAUAAAUGAGCCUCUGUAAAACAGCAGGGAGGUGACUAGUAAAAUGCCAAUUUUCGCAUUCUGGUUAGAAUAAUUUCAUUCGUUCCUGAACCUUGCUUGUUAUGAUCCUGUUACAUUUAUUUUUGUUUGUAUGUUUGUUUCAUUCAUUUUGUCUUGAUGAAAAGCCCUGCAUGCUGCAUUCUACUCAGGCCCGACAUGUGGAGCACCGAUAAGUUGUAUUUCACCAUUUCCCAGAUCCAAUGAGUCAAGCAUCAGUGAGCUCAUACAAUUGCACAGCACAAACUAGCUGACCAAGACGGGUCAACAUAUGAGGUCAAGGAGCAUAUGUUUGUCUUCAAGGGGACACAAGCAGACUGAAGAUUCAUCUGUGUUUAGCUUCUAAUCUCAAGUUAGGACAUUCAAAGAAACGUUUGGUGCACUUCUGCAACGAGCAAAUCAUGUGCUACAAUCAGCCGCAGGUAAAUGAACCUUUUUAAUUACACAAGCUAAAACUCUGCACGAGACUAAGUUCAGGCCAUUGAGGUGUGGAGUUCAGUACAUUUUGACAUUGUUUAAUGUAAAGAGAAAAAAACACUGUAAUAUCAGAUUUGGUCACAGCUCCGCAGCAAUGUGAUUGAAAGACUGAAUUAUUUUCCGUUUUUAAAAAGGUACAGUGUGAUGGAUGAGAUGGUGGACGUCAGGUGCAGAAACGCCAGAACAGCAUUUUGCUCCGAGAUUCUUAACUAAGCACGGCAAAUAUCCAUGCCAAACAUAAAGCUUCUGAUGUUGCAGUAUGAAAUCUGGCCUGUCUGUUACAAAGAUCCUGAUUGGGGCUUUGAUACAUUAAUCACUGAGGCUAAUUGUGCAAUUGAAUACACCAUGUAGAUGUUUAUAUUCGAAAUGUGUUUACAAUGCCAUUAACGGUUGCGUUUCUGUUCUUUGGUCAAUGUUGGUUUUUAAAAUAGCUGUAAUAGUCUCUUUUCCCCAAAAUAACCAUUGCACACAUAACACCUUUUGUGCUCCCUGGGCAAAGAAUUUCUUGUACAGAGACUUUCCUUGUGCUCCACAAGAAAGUGUUAACAUUGAUGCUGGGAAUAAUUUCCUGGGUCAUUCAAAGGACAACACACACACACACUGCACUAACCUGGAGGGAGAGUCUGGAUAGCACUGUGCAGCUCUGUGGUUGGACACUUUUAAAUACAAGAAGCUGAAGAGGGAAAUUCCUCCAUAUGGUGCUUUAUCCCUGUCUCCUUCUCAAUCAGCGUUCUCUGCAUCACCCCAGCCUCAAACGCCCCACAGCCCUAUGACCAUGGAGGAGGCGUGGGAUGAAGGGGACAGGAAUGCAAUCUGUGAAUGGAAAGGAGAAAAGGGAGUAGUACAAGCAGAACAGAGCAGAACUUUUCCUCAGCCUGCAAAAUAGAAGCAAUGAUCCCCUUGUAGACAUGGCAGAGAGCCUCAGAAUCCCUACAUGUCCACAUUCUCCCUUUGGGCCACACUCCCUCUCUCUCACCAUCAUCCAUGAAGACUUAUAAAUGCAACUCUGUGUUUCCUUGAUAAUAUAUGAACAAACAUAAUAGUGGUUUUUGAUUUUAUGCCUUUUAAGUCUAAACGCUUCUUUUGAGCAUAUAAAGGGGUCACGAGUGGUUCUGAAGUCCGGGAGAAUCCCUGUACUGCAAUUUAGUGUGUUUUUAUGUUACAGCCCACCUGAUUAAACUUAUUAAGGCCAGAUACCUCAGACAAAUAGGCUUUUUUUAUGUUUUAUGAUUGACUCUUAUCAGAACAAAACUUUUCUAAUUAAACCUGGCAUAUCACAGUUUUUUAAUGGAUUAACUUGGAACGAUUCAUAUGAUUCAAAGUGAAGCUAUUUAAAAGGAACUGUCAAUUUUCUAUUUACUUAUUUUGAAAGCAAAGUCACCAUUCUUGCCUGUGGUGUCUGGCUUUAAGAUAGCUGAAGAGCUGAAUCAGGAGCAGAAUAAACACUAGACGACAGAACAGAGGUCUCAAAACGGUGUGACCCGAAAACCCACUGAAAAACAGCUUACUGUCCUCAGGAGUUUUUCUUGUAGUGGGAGUGAAUGUUGUUUGGUUUGGAAAGGAAAAGUUUGGAUAUAGAAAUACACUUGGAUUAUUUUUAUUUCACAAGAGUAAAGGUCACGCUUUAAACUGCAGUAUUAUGCCAUAUUUUGUAUGACACUGACCAUCCUAUUAUUAAAAUAGGACAGGAAAUGUGAAAAUAAUACCAUGAUUUGAGAAGAAUAAGUGCGUGUAAAGGAGUGAGAGCACAGACGCUCAGUGACGUGGGUUGGCACGAGAUCUAGGUAUAAGUCUAAGUCUAAAAAUAUUUAGAAAUCUUUGCUGUGUGGUUUUGGAUGUUCAGAAAGGCAGUGUUUACAACACAACUCCUCCAUCAACUGCCUGCAUUAAUCCAUCCAUCCAUUCACCUGUAAAGGAAAAAGUGAACAAAAAUGCAAAAACUUUUUUGUUUGUUUGUUUGUUUGUUCAUUGCCUUCUUUUUCAAAACUUUUUCAUUUGUUUUAAGGUCCAGAAAUCAGUCUGCUAUCAUAUUUAAUCAUUUAUUAAAACCUGAUUCAAAUUUUAUUUAAUGUAUUUACAUGCCUCAGUGCUACUAUUUCCUUUAGUAUGUACUGAACGAUUGCAUCUUUUAUUUGUGAACAAUGACGUUAUCUUAUUUUGAGGUAUUAAGAUUAAACAAAACUGCAUUGCUUCACUUCUUCCUAACUAAAAUUCAGUGGAUUCUGAACUUGUUUGUUCACACAAUAAUGACCAUUAACUAUUUGCAGAACAGUUGUAUUUCUCGUAAUUAAUAUGCACUCAAUAUCGAGAUGGAGGAGAUGCAAAUGGAACAUUGGCACAUUUUAACAUUGGCCCUGAAGUGUAUCAAUAGCAAUCACAAUGUCAGUGUCCGAUCAGAAACGAUCCUUUCACACGGUUCAUCAUUAUGUAUACAAUUGGAGAAAAGCUAAGGACUCCAGUUUUGGGAAAGUUAUUAAGCUGUUCUUAAUUGCUGUCACUUUCCAUUUCCCUUCUGUCUUUAUUGAUUUUUGUAACUUUCUUUGCAAACUUUUGCUUGGAAGUAGAUGUGCCAAACCAAACUGAGCAGACUGCUGUGGACAGAUAUGACUGAUUUUUUUUUUUCCAGUAUGUAUUUUUUUCCCCCUGUGCAAGUGUUGAAUGCCUUUCUGUUGGAGUUUUGUUUUUUUGGUCUAGUUGUAAAUGUUCUUUUUAAUCUGAUAUUUUCUGGUAUGCUGCGAUGUCUCUUCAUAAAAUGAAAAAUGUUCUUUGAAUGUUUCUGCAAGAUUGUCAUGGGGGAGUGUAAAAUGACUGACAUCGUCAUCGCCACUUACACAUUGUUGGUGUUGUUUUAAAAGAUAAAAAAAAUCCUAAAUAAAUUAUUUGAAUCGGA
Molecule: RNA transcript, 7216 nt
Organism: Hemibagrus wyckioides
Lineage: Eukaryota; Metazoa; Chordata; Actinopteri; Siluriformes; Bagridae
Gene: lhfpl4a
Gene name: LHFPL tetraspan subfamily member 4a
Exons: 5
Source: RefSeq, a predicted model, not a curated record